Molecule: unclassified non-coding RNA, 404 nt
Filed under: soil metagenome
Description: partial contains 5.8S ribosomal RNA, internal transcribed spacer 2, and large subunit ribosomal RNA
Rfam family: 5.8S ribosomal RNA (bases 1-122)
Source: RNAcentral
GAUGAAGAACGUAGCAAAAUGCGAUACUUAGUGUGAAUUGCAGAAUCCCGUGAACCAUCGAGUUUUUGAACGCAAGUUGCGCCCGAAGCCUUUUGGCCGAGGGCACGUCUGCCUGGGCGUCACGCAUCGCGUCGCCCCCCACAAUUCUCCGUAAAGGGAACGUGUGUUUUGGGGGCGGAUAUUGGUCUCCCGUGCUCAUGGCGUGGUUGGCCGAAAUAGGAGUCCUUUCGAUGGACGCACGAACUAGUGGUGGUCGUAAAAACCCUCGUCUUUUGUUUCGUGCUGUUGCUCGCAAGGUAAACUCUUUAAAAACCCCAAUGUGUCGUCUCUUGACGACGCUUCGACCGCGACCCCAGGUCAGGCGGGACUACCCGCUGAGUUUAAGCAUAUCAAUAAGCGGAGGA